AUUGAACGCUGGCGGAAUGCUUUACACAUGCAAGUCGAACGGCAGCACGGGGGCAGCCCUGGUGGCGAGUGGCGAACGGGUGAGUAAUACAUCGGAACGUGCCCGGUCGUGGGGGAUAACGUAGCGAAAGUUACGCUAAUACCGCAUACGAUCUGAGGAUGAAAGCGGGGGACCUUCGGGCCUCGCGCGAUCGGAGCGGCCGAUGUCAGAUUAGGUGGUUGGUGGGGUAAAGGCCUACCAAGCCGACGAUCUGUAGCUGGUCUGAGAGGACAACCAGCCACAUUGGACCGGGGCACCGCCCAGACCUCUUAGGGGGGGCGGAGGGGGGAAAUUUGGGCAAAUGGGCGAAACCUUAUCCCAGCAAUCCGCGUGCAGGACGAAGGCCUUCGGGUUGUAAACUGCUUUUGUACGGAACGAAAAGGCUCUGGCUAAUACCUGGGGCUCAUGACGGUACCGUAAGAAUAAGCACCGGCUAACUACGUG
Molecule: ribosomal RNA, 483 nt
Filed under: uncultured bacterium
Lineage: Bacteria
Description: partial 16S ribosomal RNA
Rfam family: Bacterial small subunit ribosomal RNA
Source: RNAcentral